This 103-nucleotide microRNA precursor is filed under the name Marmota monax (woodchuck). Lineage: Eukaryota; Metazoa; Chordata; Mammalia; Rodentia; Sciuridae. The record is from RNAcentral.
AGUACAAUUGCUGGGUUAUAUAGUGAGAGUUUGUUCAGUUGUGUAAGAAACUCCCAUACCACUUCCCGGAGUGUCUGUGCCAUUCUACACUCCCACAAGCAGU